Molecule: long non-coding RNA, 8451 nt
Organism: Dermacentor andersoni
Lineage: Eukaryota; Metazoa; Arthropoda; Arachnida; Ixodida; Ixodidae
Source: RefSeq, a predicted model, not a curated record
CACAAGGCUCCAUCCUCGGACCUGUACUGUUUCUAAUUUACAUUAACGACCUUCCCACCUGCAUUACAUAAACAAUCAGGCUUUCGCGAAUGAUUGUGUCCUCCACUGCGUAAUAUCUAACUCUUAUGAUUCUCAACUUCAAUCUGAUCUUGACAGCAUUAGUUCUUGGUGUUCACUCGGGUCCAUGAAAUUGAAUGUUAACAAAUGCAGAAUAAUGAGGAUUUCCCAAAGAACUGCCGACUGUACCAUCGCUGUUUAUUCCAUUACUAAUUUUCAUUUGUUACGUGUCAAUACUUCGAUACCUAGGUGUCCGCAUAGAUAACAAUUUAUCACGGAUACUGACGUUAACUACGUCAUUAACAAUGCAAAUCGCACUCUUGGUUUUUUGCAACGUAACUUUGCUUUGGCUCCUAUUUCCUUAAAACUUCUUGAUAAAACUUUAGUCGGGUCAAAACUCAAGUGCGCUUCUUCAAUCUUGAAUCCUCGCUCCUCUACACUUGUAAACACACUAGAAGCCAACCAAAAUCGUUCAGCUCGGUUCAUUGUUUCUAAUUAUUCUCGCACCGCCAGUAUUACUUUAAUAAAGAUUUCUCUAGACCUUCCUAACCUCUCUGUCAAAAGGAAGCAGGCCCGCCUAUGUCUCUUUCAUAAAAUCUUCUUUACGAAUCCUGAACAGAAAUGCACAUUGUUCUCGCCACCUUGUUAUUUUUCAUCCUGCGUCAACCAUAACUUCAAAGUACAAGUGCUGUUCUGUCAGACCAACAUGUACUUCCAUUCCUACGUGCCAAAGACAUCAUCAGAAUGGAAUCACCUCUCUGCCUCCAUCGCCAGCAACCCUGAGCAUGCGUCAUUCAAGACUGCCAUUCUGAACAUGUAACACCACUCCUCUCUGUAAUGCCACAAUGGCAUUGAGAGCAUUUAAAUAAAUAAAUAAAUAGAUAGGUGCUAAACACAACUUUCAAGCUUACACACCAAAGUCAGAUUGUCUCGCGAACAGAAUGUGUAACGAGAAAGACAUGGAGGCGAUUCCACGGGAGAUCAAACAUGCAUGUCCGCUUGAUAUUUUUGUCUUGUCUGGUUUGUCUUCUCUUGACUGCAUGGAACCGCAAAUUUUAUUCCCCAUAAGUGUUCUCAGCUAGUUAAAAAAGUAUUUGAAGGUGGCAGUGGGAGCAUCCUCCUAUUGCUUACCAUAAUAUUCUUACGCCAAGGACAAGUCAGUAAGACGAGCAACUAUUUACACGUUAUAUUUACAACAGCGGUUGCAGCGCUGACUGGUUAGACUCACAGUGCGAACCCAGUUCGUUCUUCCUCCUCUUUUCUCGAGUGAUGGCGCCCACUCACCUCGUUCAAACAAUCCAACACCACACGCGUGUAGCAUAAUCCCCCAGCAGCAGAAGCGACGUCCCGAAGCGUCUAAAUGUCAUCACUGGGAGGGUGAUACUGCUUCAGUCAUGUAACGCGCACGAUAUCACUGGACUGGAAAGCAGAUAGGGUGUCAGGGGCGAUCUCGUAGGUGACAGUAGUCACGGCAUGAAGCACUCGGUAUGGGUCUGUGUAACGAGACAGCAGUUUUUCUGACAGGCCGACCUGACGCAACGGAGACCAUAGAAGCACCAAAGAAAUAGGCGGGAAGUGCACAUCUCGGUGUCGCCGGUUGUACUAACGCCUUUCACUCUCUUGGGAUUUCGGAAGGCAGUCACGGGCAAUUUCUCUUGCGUGGGCACAGUGGGCGAUGGUGUCAAGUGCAUAUUCAUUGGUCGAUGCCGCUUGAACAGGUAGAGUUGUGUCGAGGGGCAGUGCUGGUUCUUGGCCGAACAGAAGGAAAAAUGGGAAAUAACCGGCGGUGUCGUGGCGCGAGGAAUUAUAAGCAAAUGUGACAAACGGUAGAGUGAGGUCCCAGUCAAUGUGGUCUGAAGAUACAUAUUUCGCGAGCAUGUCUGUGAGAGUGCGAUUGAGAUGGUGCGUGAGGCCAUUUGUUUGCGGAUGGUAUGACAUGGAUAGCUUGUGCCUCAUGGCACAGGAGUGCAGGAUGUCCGGGAUAACUUUUGAUAGGAAUGUCCAGCCACGGUCUGUGAGAAGUUGUUGCGGAGCUCCAUGUUAUAAAAUCACGUCGCGUAGAAGAAAAUGGGCGACAUCUGUGGCACAGCUAGUAGGAGGCGCUCGGGUGAUGGCGUAGCGCGUGACGUAAUCACAGCGAUCCACCUGUUUCAGAGGUAGAAAGAGGAAAAGGGCCAAGUAAGUCCAAACCAACCCGAAAGAAUGGUUCCGCGGGAAGUCGAGUGGUUGAAGGUAGCCAGCAGGGAGCGUCAGUGGUGUCUUGUGUCGCUGACAUUUCUCACACGCAGCUACCUAUCUUCGAACGGAGCAAGCAAGCCCUGGCCAAAAAAAGCGUUGGCGGAUCCGGUCGUAGGUAUGUGACACACCCAGGUGACCGGCAGUGGGGAGGUCGUGAAGUUCGUAGAGAACAGCCAAGCGAAGGUGUUUACUGUUUAGGGAUCACAAGGAGUAAUGCAGGGCCGUCGGGGUGAACAUUGCGGUGGUAGGGUGCGCCAUCUUGAAGUGUGAAUAAGCAAAGGAAACUGUCGGCAAGUAACGAUUCCAGGCGGUCAAUGAUGAUACACAAGGACGGCUCACAGCGCUGCUCAUCGGCGACAUGGAGCAGUGAAAAAACAGAAAGAACACAGGCAUCGGUGACAGUAUCAGACGUAGAGGUCGCAUCUUUGACUGUGUAGCGAGAGAGGCAAUCUGCGUCCUGGUGUUGGCAUCCCGACUUGUAAGUCACUGUGUAGGGAUAUUCUUGUAGUUAGAAGGCCCAACGACCGAGCCGGCCAGUAGGAUCCUUGAGCGACAAAAGCCAACAGAGCACAUGAUAGUCUGUGAUUACUGAGAAGGGCUUGCCAUAUAAGUAUGGGCGGAACUUUGAAACAGCCCAGACAAGAGCAGGACAUUCAUGCUCAGUAAUCAAACAGCUGCGCUCUGCAGGGGCGAGGAGCCGGCUGGCGUAGGCUAUAACGCGGUUGUGUCCGUGUUGGCGUUGCGAUAAGACGGCGCCGAUCCCAUAACCACUGGCAUUGGUUUGGACCUCUGUAGGUGCGUACGGGUCAAAGUGGGCCAAGGUUGGUGGAUUGGAGAGAAUCGUGAUAAGGCAUGAAAAUGCAGCAGCCCGAGGGGAACCCCACGUAAAAGGCACGUCUUUUUUCAGAAGUUCAGCGAGUGAUCGAGUGAUUGCUGCAAAAUCUUUCACGAACCGUUGGAAAUAAGAACAGAGCCCCACAAUAUUAUGGACGUCUUUGACAGACUGAGGUACAGGAAAAGCCGUUACCGCUUGAACCUUCUCCGGGUUGGGUUGUACUCCGGCACUAUCAAUGAGAUUGCCUAGCACUGUAAUCUGUCGGCGCCCGCAGUGGCACUUCGAUGAGUUUAACUGGAGCCCAGCCAUGCGGAAGACAUCAAGGACAGCUGCGACGCGCUGAAGGUGAGUCUCAAAUGUAGGAGAGAAUACAAGGAUGUCCUCGAGGUAACAAAGGCAAAUUGACCAUUUGAAACCUUUAAACAGAGAGUCGAUCAUCCGUUCGAACGUGGCGGGGCAUUGCAUAAACCAAACGGCAUAACCUUGAAUUGGUAGAGGCCAUCUGCAGUGACGAAAGCGGUCUGUUCUUGGUCUUGCUCAUCGACGGAAAUCUGCCAAUAGCCAGAUCGAAGGUAGACGGACGAAAAGUAUUUGGCACCGCGAAGACAAUCAAGAGCGUCGUCGAUUCGUGGUAAAGGGUAAACGUCCUCUUUAGUAAUUCGGUUUUGGUGGUGGUAAUCAACUCGGAAACGUCACGUGCCAUCUUUCUUUUUGACGAGCACAACCAGCGACGCCCAAGGACUUGACGAGGGCUCAACAAUGCCUCUGAUGAGCAUCUUGUGUACUUCAUGCUGAAUAACUUUCCACUCUUCCGUGGUGAAUGGGAGCCGCAUCACCAGUGUUUAUCCGAUGCUUAACAAGGGGCGUCUGACCAAGUGGUCGAUUGUCAGUGUCAAAUAUAUUGCGGGAGAAAAGAAAAAGUGAUAUAGGGCGGCUGGUUGGUCACGUGCAAGGUCCGGAGCGACCAUGGGGCGUAAUGGGCCGUCGAGGUUCAAGUCAUCCUGCGGAUAAUCAUGAGGAUCUGGAGACACGUCGGCUGCAAAAGCAGUGACGUGGUCAUCUGUCACUGACCAGAGCGUGGCCACUGCUAUGCCUUCAGGUAACGCUUGCUUCGUCAAGCCAAAAUUGAUAACGGGGAGACCGAUCCGAUUAGUGGCAAGGGUUACGACGAAGGGUGGCAUAGAAACGCGCACCAGGAGGACAUCACAAAUAUGUGCGACAACAUAGACGCCAUCAGCCACGGUUGCCGUUGAGGCGAAUUCGACGAAGGUUAGGACUUUUGGAGGCAAGUGAACAAACACUGUAGUGCAGAGGGUGUUCGGGGCAAACAUCUGAAAGAACAGGAAGCUUGAGGCACAGCGUACCGGUGGCACAGUCGAUGAGGGCAGAAUGCGUCGUCAGAAAGUCGAGCCCGAAGAUUAGGUCAUGAGGGCAACUGGUCAGCACGGUGAGCAGGACUGGAACUUGGCGGGCAGCAAUUCCUAUGCGAGCAGUGCACAUACCCUGACGGCAACAGUGGCGCCAUCGGUGAUGCAUACGGCUCGAGUGAUGGUGUGCGUAAGAACUUUUUUGAGGCGACGACAUAGGUUAGCGCUCAUUAUGGACACUUGUGGCGCGAUCUUGUACGCGUUCCAAAAUCGAACGGAGGCGGUCCAUUCUUUACAUCACGAAAUAGGCGGUCCGCAAUGUUUGCGAGAAUGAGAGGAAGCAAACAACCAAUGAGCGAAGUGGAAGCCUGCAUCACGCUUUUGACGUCUGCUUGGGGAACGUAUAACAUAUUGAGAAGCGUUUCUAACAUUUCGAGAAAUAUUUUACUAUUAUGACUGAGUAGUAAAAUGUGUUGUUGAUUUUGAAACAUUCAAUUUGGAAUGCGGAAUGACUGAAACAAAUUAUUGGGGUUAAUGUCUUGAAAUGGCGCUAGGUGGCGUCUCAGCUUUGCGAAACGUUUACUGGUGGCGCUAGCCACUACCCAGUUUCAAGCAAACGGCGCGACUUUUGAAGUGGUUGGUUCAGUCCAGCAGUUGCGUGCAGAAAGCCAAAGUUCUUCAUUCUAUGGGAGAGCCAUGGUGCAAAACCUGACACCUUGCGCACCCAUCAAGGAACCGCGUGCUUCCGAGGGCCAGCGGGAGACGGUGCUCACUUUUAUGGAGCAGCAUCCCCAGCUGGCUUUAAGAUCCAGCAAGCUGGGGCCAGGCUUCACUGUUGGCAACUGGCGAUGGCCGUGGCAGCAGCUGGCCAAUGCGCUGAACGAGGAAGGGCCUGUCAUAAAAACGGUGAAACAGUGGCAGGAGUGGUGGCAAAAACAGGUGUUCGAGGCCCGCCACGACGCUACCACAAUCGCCCAAGAGCAAAGGUGAGUGACCGUCGAAUGGUCUGGGCGAUUUGUCCUUCAACAUUGGUGUGUAUAUUCAGAAGCACUGGAGGGGGUCGCUUUUCCGUCUUCCACGGCCGAGUACUGCAGCUGACAGGGACAGUCCGCUUGCGUGGCAUCACCACCCUUCCCUACCAAGAGGUAAGCACACUGCCGCCAUAAUAGCAUGGGUUCUUGAACGGUGCCGACUUAGAGUUUGCCAUUAUCUGUAAGUGGUACCUUUAGUGGAACACGACACUUUGGUGAACAGGCAAAUAGCGCAGGAGAGAAUGGAUAAGCAGGUAGGUUAAUCAACUAGAAUCUCAGUUGGCUGCGCUUUUGGGAAAAGGGGGAUUAAGUGAUCAUCACAGAAAUAGUAUGCCUUCAGGGAACUGCACGAGAAUAGUAAUACAUGGGAUUAUUAAGCACUUAAUAAUUGCAGAAUAUUUCCGCAAAUAUGUAGUACGAAAACUUGUAACAUAGGCAGUGUAACGAAUAGCCACGUAGUGGAGGGACAUGCUCAUGACACUUUCCAGCAGGCUGACAUUCGCACUGCAGCUAUAGAAGUCGUCGAAGCUACGGACGAGGCUGCGGGCAUGAGGAGCACAGUGACACUUAAGCAUCAGAGGAAUGAGUGUUUUAAUUAUCACCAAAUGUGUGUGCAGUUUGUAAACGUUUAAUGUGUUUACUCUACAGUGGCAGAGGAUCCACCGCGCGGCACAUCAGUCACAGUAAGGGUGGCUGCUGCACCUGCGUCCUGCACGGCCACCACGUGGACAGCGACCGCGACGGGCGGACACCCUCCCGACCAUGUCGUCGCAAUGUGCCCGCAGCCUCGAACAGGGCGACGAGAUGCUCCAGGUUGGUAGAUUCUUUGCUGUCAUUUUACAUGAAGGACGUAAGUAUUCCUUAUGCUCUGUUAUCAUAAGUGAAUUGGAAUCUGAAAAACAAACCAACUUGGGAUGUAAACAAAGAAAUAUGCGUCGUAUUGAGGGCUCGGUAUCGUAUCUUGCCAAUGAUCAACCGCCGGGCAAAAGGUUGGUUAGCCCUGAAAAGGGCUGUUUGGUGGUGAGAGAUGCAUUUGAGUAGAUGACGGAAGAAUAGUUCCAGCAGGUCUUUGUCUGUCCAAACAAAGAGGGCAUAGCUUGUACACGACGCUUGACACUGCCAAAGGAUGCCAUCAGGCCAGUGGCUCUUCAACAGAGAGGGAAUUGUUGUGCACGUUGCGAUUCUUGACAACAGCAGCUUCCAGCCAUGAGCUGGUUGCGAGUCAUCAGCAACUCAUGCGAACUGUUCCACCACGAUUAUUCAUUCCAGGUGCUGCGGAGGAUUGAAGAAUCCACCACCCGCCUCGCUGUCGCGGCAGAGAGGACAGCAGCGGCUCAGGAGGGCAUCAUGGGGCAGGUGCGCUCCAUGGCACGGGACAUAGCUGCGCACCUGCAGCAAGAAAUUAAUUUAUUGUUUAUUUUCACCUUUUCAAUGUCAUUUUACUCAUUUAUUGUGUUUUAUGAGUUCAGUUUAUUUUAUUUAUUUAUUGCUGUUUGAGUUUUAGAAGUUAACUUUCAUUUGAGGCAUGAAUUGUUGCUUCAUUUUGAGUUUUAAGUUUCCUUGUUGCCUUGUAUGAGUAACACAGGAGGAUCUUUUGGACGAAAGGCGUAAUGCGUGCACCCAUUUUUGUUCUGUAGUAUUUGCCUCUUUCUAUUUAUGCUUAUCCAGCUGCAACGCCAGCAUGCUUUUUUUAUUUACACAUUUCGAAGGCGCAUAGUCAUUCACGCUAGAAUAAUUACAAAUAAUUCUCGAUUUCAGUGUAUGGGUUCUGUACUUUGAUAUUUAUAUUGCUUCAAUAUGUGUUGUAGCUUACUGCACUCAUUGUGAAGCAUUAGUGCAUAGUGUUUGCACUGUGAUAUUUUCAUUUCGGCACAGUGAGGCUAUGGUGCAACAACUACAAUGUGCUCUUUUUUUUUUUAGAGCACCAAAUUAGCCACUCUUUAAGUUGCAUAGUAGUUUCACAAAUGAGAACGGCCAUCAUCAUUGUACCACGCCAGUGAUUGGUUUCCUCUAGUCUUCAUUCCAAGUGAGUCAUUGCAAGAAUAAGUUUCACGUGUGACACAUUCUGGGUGCUGUGAUAUUGUAGAGCCAAUUAUUCAUGUUGUAUGUAAUUUAAGUUUCAUCACAGCUGGCAAGUGCACUCACCUUUUUACAAUUAUGAUUCACUUGUUGUUUAGCAUCGCACUACAAUUGCUGUCGAGAAAUGAAUGCUUCUAGUCAGUGACUCAUAACACUGAGAAGGGAACGGACAUACCCGUCAAAGCCAUACUUUCUUGCAAGGUAACAUAAAUGUAACUGCAAGUUUUAUGUGCCAUGGUGAAAACGAAUUGUGUGAUGCUGAUGUUGCAAUGUUCUCACAUGCUUCGCUACGUGUAGCAUGUUGUACCACAAGGUUCGUGAUGUACUUGUCAUCAUAGUGUGUGAUAAAGCUGACCUUUCUAUUUUCUUGCGCUUUGACGUUAAUUUAAAUCUACCCAUUUGGACAUGAUGCGACAAGUGUAAUGUUGUCACAACACUCAGCGUUAGAUUUUUGUGUGUGUUUGAAUCCGCAAUCUGCGUAUUGAUGCUUGCACGGAAGCAAAUGCAGUUCUUCACAGAUAAAGGGGCAUGAAGCAUUGCCUUACGACUGCUUCACGAGUACUACUGCUAAUAAGUGGCAGCCUUGGAGACUCUUGCGGGUACAAUUGUUUCUGAAUCCGCGGCUGUGGCAUUCUUUUUAAAGUAUUCUUUGUAUAACUUUACUUCGUUUGUGUUUAAAUCAUCAUCUGCCAGAUGUGUGGAUUUGGAACACUGACCAUCUGUAUGGAGGUGCACUUGAUGUGUAUACAAAUUUUUAAUGUAUUUUCCGCUAUACAAACACAGCCCUGUGAUAGCCUAGGGCCACUGCAAUUUGUAUAAAUAAAUUAUGUAUUAUGAAAACUCA